RNAcentral lists this non-coding RNA (45 nucleotides) under Schistosoma mansoni. The record is from RNAcentral. Lineage: Eukaryota; Metazoa; Platyhelminthes; Trematoda; Strigeidida; Schistosomatidae.
AUCUAGUUGACUAGUCCCAGAUAGGACGAAAUGCAUAUCCUGGAU